Molecule: transfer RNA, 68 nt
Filed under: Lasioderma redtenbacheri
Lineage: Eukaryota; Metazoa; Arthropoda; Insecta; Coleoptera; Ptinidae
Description: tRNA-Val
Source: RNAcentral
CAAAUUAAAGCUUAAAUAAGCAUUUUAUUUACACUAAAAAGAUAAUUGUGAAAUUCAAUUUAAUUUGA